This 921-nucleotide ribosomal RNA is filed under the name Lactobacillus helveticus. RNAcentral describes it as "bacterial SSU rRNA". It matches the Rfam family "Bacterial small subunit ribosomal RNA", at positions 30 to 920 of the family's 1533-position model. The record is from RNAcentral. Lineage: Bacteria; Bacillati; Bacillota; Bacilli; Lactobacillales; Lactobacillaceae.
CUUGCAAGUGCGGCGUGCUAUACAUGCAGUCGAGCGAGCAGAACCAGCAGAUUUACUUCGGUAAUGACGCUGGGGACGCGAGCGGCGGAUGGGUGAGUAACACGUGGGGAACCUGCCCCAUAGUCUGGGAUACCACUUGGAAACAGGUGCUAAUACCGGAUAAGAAAGCAGAUCGCAUGAUCAGCUUAUAAAAGGCGGCGUAAGCUGUCGCUAUGGGAUGGCCCCGCGGUGCAUUAGCUAGUUGGUAAGGUAACGGCUUACCAAGGCAAUGAUGCAUAGCCGAGUUGAGAGACUGAUCGGCCACAUUGGGACUGAGACACGGCCCAAACUCCUACGGGAGGCAGCAGUAGGGAAUCUUCCACAAUGGACGCAAGUCUGAUGGAGCAACGCCGCGUGAGUGAAGAAGGUUUUCGGAUCGUAAAGCUCUGUUGUUGGUGAAGAAGGAUAGAGGUAGUAACUGGCCUUUAUUUGACGGUAAUCAACCAGAAAGUCACGGCUAACUACGUGCCAGCAGCCGCGGUAAUACGUAGGUGGCAAGCGUUGUCCGGAUUUAUUGGGCGUAAAGCGAGCGCAGGCGGAAGAAUAAGUCUGAUGUGAAAGCCCUCGGCUUAACCGAGGAACUGCAUCGGAAACUGUUUUUCUUGAGUGCAGAAGAGGAGAGUGGAAUUCCAUGUGUAGCGGUGGAAUGCGUAGAUAUAUGGAAGAACACCAGUGGCGAAGGCGACUCUCUGGUCUGCAACUGACGCUGAGGCUCGAAAGCAUGGGUAGCGAACAGGAUUAGAUACCCUGGUAGUCCAUGCCGUAAACGAUGAGUGCUAAGUGUUGGGAGGUUUCCGCCUCUCAGUGCUGCAGCUAACGCAUUAAGCACUCCGCCUGGGGAGUACGACCGCAAGGUUGAAACUCAAAGGAAUUGACGGGGGC